GUCGUGGAAGUAGAAGUGGAGGUGGCUGAGCUUCUCUUCGUUGAGACCCAUCGAUAUGGGAGAAAUUUUUUUGGAGAAACGGUGGGAUUCCUCGCUGGAGCCACGGCGGCAGCAAUGGUGGAGAAGAAGAUAGUGAAAAUGAUGAGAGGUUUCGCCAUGGUGGAGAAGAAUUAAACAAAGGUGGAAAAAAUUUCGACGUCAACCAUACCUUCUUAUAAAUAUAUGAAUGAUGGCAAAAAAAAUAUUUAGCUUCAUUAUUUAUUUGUGGGUUUAAUAUAUUUUAAACUCUCAACCCAUCCCGUGUUGUUUGGCACAUUGACCCUUUAGGACCCAAACUUCUUAAAUUAUAGUGCUCUACCUUUUUUUUGUUAGAUAAUAUAAACUUCUUAAAUUGCAACACUCUACCUUUUUCAUUAGUCAGUGUUAAUUUAAGUGAACAAAAAUCUCGUGUUGUAUACGUGACUGACUAAUGAAGGGUAAAUUUAUAAAUUCUCAAACCAAAACAUUAAACAGAUUGCCCCCAUACCAAUCCUUCGUUUAUUUAAAAUAAUUUUCAUAUUCAUUCCAUUUAAAAAAUUAAAUGAAGUAGAGUGGAACAGGUAUCAAAAAAAUUUACCCAUUACUAUUUCUCAGUAAAAUGUAUAAAAAUAGACUUAUAUUAUAAAUAAAAAUAUAUUUGUUUAUUCUUAAUUAAAAUAAUCAAAAUUGAAAAUAUUUAAAAUUCUGACAUUAAUAAAUAUUAUUUGGGAGUAGUUUUAAAUAAUUGUUUCGUAUGUAGUCAUUUAUAUGGUUAUACAUAAGAGAAAUGGAUCUUAUAAUAAAAUUUCAUAAAAUAUUUUUAAAAAAAAUGUAUAGAGACAUUCGUUGACUUAAAAAAGAAAAAAGAAAAAAAGGAAAGAGCUGAAACUUGAUGAGCGGCGUGGAUUAGUUGGGCCUUUGGAAAUUCCAAAUUUGGGUUUUUGAUGAUUCCCGGCACUUUAUGGGGUGGUGGUCCUAACGCAUUAGAGGAAGGUGACGCUCACGUGUCUUUUCUUUUCCUUCCGAUGAGGAAAGCUGCAAAUGUUAGGGACGGUUGGAUCAAAUAUGAAGAGCAGAUGAUGCCACGUGGAAAGUACAAAGAAAAAGGGCAAAUCACCUAAUGAUAAUUGUUGGGAAUGUUGGUCCCUUUUGAUAACGAAUAUACUAAAAAUGUCAUUCGAUUAAAAGCUCUUAAGCAUUUAAUGCACUUUACUUUUUGUUAGGACAUUUAUAUUGCGUGGAUCUCAUAUUUAUGAUAAUUAUUAACAUUUAAAUUUUAAAUUAAAAUUUUGAUGAUAAUAUAAUUUGUUAUUUAAAUUUACUAUUUAAAACAAAAAUACUUUUAAAAAAUAUUUUGAUGUUUAAAUUUGUUAUUUUAAUCCUUACAACUUUACUAACUUAAUAUACAAAUAUUCAAUCAUAUAACAUAUAAUUAUUCAAUGGAAUAACACGCUAACUAUUCAUUAAGUAAUAUAACACGUGAAAAAAUUAAAUAAAAAUAAAUUAAAUUAUUGUAAUAUAUUAUAAUAUUAAUGUAUUUAUGUUGCAAGUAUAAUACAAUUACGUCUUACUUAUAUUUUAUUACAAAAAUAAUAAUUUUAAAAUGUUUAUUUAUAUCUUAUUGGUAUUAAUAUAUUAGUAUAUUAACAUCAUUUACAAAUUAUUUAAUAAUUUGUGUAUAUAUAUAUAAUAAAAAAAAAUCAUGAGUCUUAUAAAUUCAAAAUAAUGUUUUAUUUGGUUUUAAAAGUGAUUCAUAAUAUAAAUAUAUUAUGAAAUAUGGUAUGAUCAUUACAAACUUUUACUAUUAUAAAAAAUGUUUAAAAAUUUUUUAAUUAAAUUUUAUUAUAAUAAAAGUGUAUUUAUAUUCUAAUUAUAACAUAUUUUGAUUUGUAUCUUAUAAUAAAAGUAAUAAUCUCAUGGGAAGGUGACGCUCACGUCUCCUUUCUUUUCCUUCCGAUGAGGAAAGCUGCAAAUGUUAGGGACGGUUGGAUCAAAUAAGAAGAGCAAUGAUGCCACGUGGAAAGUACAAAGAAAAAGGGGGAAUCACAUAAUGAUAAUCAUUGGGAAGGGUGCUCAAAAGCUUUUAACGCCCAUUUGUGGCGCGUGGACCUCAUAUUUAUGGUAAUUAUUAACCUUCAAAUUUUAAAUCAAGAUUUUGAUGAUAGUAUAAUUUAUUAUUUAAAUUUAUUAUUUAAAAUAAAAAUACUUCUAACAAACAUUUUGAUGUUGUUUAAAUUUUUUAUUUUAAUAUUUACAACUUUAUUAACUUAAUAUACAAAUAUUCAAUUAAAUAACACAUCAUUUUUUAACGGAAUAACAUGUAAUUAUUUAUUGGAUAAUAUAACAUGUGAAAAAAUUAAAUAAAAAUAAAUUAUAUUAUAUUAUAAUAUAUUGUAAUAUUAAUAUCUUUGUGUUGUAAGUAUAAUGCAUUUAUGUCAUACUUAUAUUUUAUUAUAAAAGUAAUAAUUUUUAAAAUACUUAUUUAUAUCUUAUUGGCAUUAACAUAUCAUUAUCAGUAUAUUAACAUCAUUUACCCAAUAUAUUGAAAUUAUUUAAUAACUUUUGUGUAUAUAUAUAUACAUAAAAUAAAUAAAUAAAUAAAUAAAAAAAACCAUGACUUUCAUGAAUUCAAAAUAGGUUUCAGAAAUGAUUCAUAAUAUAAAUAUGUUAUGAAAUAUGAUAUGAUUAUACAAAACUAUAACUUUUAUAAAUAAAAAGUUUAAAAUUUUUCUAAUUAUGUUUUAUUGUAAUGAAAGUGUGUUUAUAUUAUAAUUAUAACAUAUUUUGAUCAUAAGUGUAUUUUAUAAUAAAAAUAAUAAUCUUAUAGAUCACUUUUUAUACUUCAUUAAUAUUUAAUAUAUCAUAUGUAUUAAUAUCAUCCACUCGAUGUAUUGAGAAAAAAAAUGAUCAAAAAAUUAUAUACGAAAAUUAAGAAAAAAACAUUAUGCAAAGAAAAAAAAAUAGAAAUAUCAUACAAAUUUUUAAAAAUUAUUUUAUUAUAAAAAAUAAAAAAAGAUCAAACAUUCUCCAUUUUCUUAUUCUUUUUAGAUAAUUCAAAUUAAAAAUUAAGUAAUGUAUCUUCCUCGAAUUCAAUACAAAAACAUAAUUUAUUAGUUUAAAAUUAGAAAAAUAUAUAUGAAAAAAUCAUUAUUUUUAUUAUAUAAUUAUAAAACUUUCUUAAUAAAAAAAUGCACAAAAAAAAACUAAUUAAAUAUUACUUAAAAAUAUUUUUUAAAAGUAUUUUUGCUUUAAAUGGUAAAUUUAAAUAACAAAUUAUACAAUCAUUAUAUAUAAUAAUUGUAAGGAUUAAAUCCAAAAUUUUGAUUUAAAAUGUGAACGUCAAUAAUUACAAUAAAUGUGAGACUCAUAUACCAUAAAUGUCCUAACAAAAAAAUAAGUGUUUUAUAUGGUUUAAAUUUUAAAAGUUUUAAUUGAAAUGCAUUUUUGGUAUUUCAAAAUAUUAUUGUCCAGUAAUUAUCCUAUUUAACCCACCUAUCCGUAAUUCUCCCAAAGAAAAAUCUAAAGAUGAAAAUCGAGUGCGUGAAGGGCCUUCGACAUGCCUACCAUCCUAUCAGCCUAUAAUUAAUCAUGAAUCUUGAGAAUUUUUAUUUAUUUAUUUUUUUCCUUCCAAAUUUCGACAUGUUUAUUAAAUUAGCAGCAAAAUAUGUGGAAUAAGCAAAUAAUUUAAAACUUUCCCAUUCAUGAUGUCCAAAUUUAAAAACGAAAAAGCAUAAAAUUAUCGGAAAGAAAACAAAGAAAAAGCUAAGACAGAAUUGCAGGAAUCAGUAAUGAAAGACAUAAACAUUAUACUCCACAACAACAUCUCCUGUUUUGGGAUUGAAGGUGUGAGUCCUCGCCUGAGCAUACCCACGAGCAAAUCGGAAAAGCCCACUGCCGCCGACGAUCGACAUCUCCCGCACCUUUGAAAAGAUAGUGUUUCGACCCAAAACACUGAGAGUACUGCCGUUGUACUUGCCCUCCAUGAAAGCAAAAUUCAGCACCAUCAAGAAGCCCAUUUCCUCCUGCGACGCCGAUGCGUAUAUUCCUUGGGCUCUUCCUACCAGCUUGGAGCUGGGCUCGGGUCCCACAGUCAAGGGAUCGUCCAUCAUAAGCACCGCGCCGAACACUGUCGCCGACUUGUUGGUCAUGGCGGCCUCAGCGACUCUCACGGCGGUGGGUUUCGGGCCGCUGAUUAUGUCGUGGAAGUAGAAGUGGAGGUGGCUGAGCUUCUCUUCCUUGAGGCCUAUCGAUUCCGGAGAAAGGUUCCUGGAGAAACGGUGGGAUUCCCCGCUGGAGCCGGAGGCCGCGACGGCGGCAAUGGUGGAGAAGAAAAUAGUGAAAAGGAUGAGGAGUUUUGCCAUCGUGGAGAAGAAACAAAGAUGGAAAAAGUUUUUGUGUCUACCUGCGC
RNAcentral lists this long non-coding RNA (4426 nucleotides) under Vitis vinifera (wine grape). RNAcentral describes it as "long non-coding RNA (VVIN_LNC002664)". The record is from RNAcentral. Lineage: Eukaryota; Viridiplantae; Streptophyta; Magnoliopsida; Vitales; Vitaceae.